UACGGGGGGGGCAAGCGUUGUUCGGAAUUACUGGGCGUAAAGGGCUCGUAGGCGGCCAACUAAGUCAGACGUGAAAUCCCUCAGCUUAACUGGGGAACUGCGUCUGAUACUGGAUGGCUUGGAUUCGGGAGAGGAAUGCGGAAUUCCUGGUGUAGCGGUGAAAUGCGCAGAUAUCAGGAGGAACACCGGUGGCGAAGGCGGUUCUCUGGGCAGUACCUGACGCUGAGGAGCGAAAGCGUGGGGAGCGAACAGG
Molecule: ribosomal RNA, 253 nt
Filed under: uncultured bacterium
Lineage: Bacteria
Description: partial 16S ribosomal RNA
Rfam family: Bacterial small subunit ribosomal RNA
Source: RNAcentral